RNA transcript from Cercocebus atys (sooty mangabey), 868 nucleotides. It is a transcript of the gene named FYVE, RhoGEF and PH domain-containing protein 4 pseudogene, with no coding region annotated. The record is from RefSeq and is a predicted model, not a curated record. The transcript has a single exon. Lineage: Eukaryota; Metazoa; Chordata; Mammalia; Primates; Cercopithecidae.
UGUUAUAUCUAAGUCUUUACUAACUAGUCACAUUAUUAAACACUGCAAGGAUCAAGAAAAGUUAAGUUAUAAAUAAAAUAAACAGCCCAAGGAAGUGUUCCAGUCCCCAUAGGUAGACUCAGGGUCAUCUUCUUUAUUUAAAUCUUUAUUUAAAUGUGGAUAGCAUCCCCAGAGACUUGGGGCUACACUGAGAAUAUUCAAAUCCAUGUUUCUAAAACCAUCAGAGAUAGAAAAAAAAAUUAGCAAAUAUCCCUUUUCAACUGGAAUAAACUUGUCUUAAUUCUAGAACUUUUCCAUGCCAAUGUUUUCAUGCUUCCUUUGUGUUUUAUCUUUUAGCUCAUUAUCAAAUUAUAGUGAUUUGAAGAAAGAUUCUGCUGUGAACCUCAAUGCUUCUAGAACCCCAGGAAGGCAUGGAUUGACAACCACACCUCCACAAAAACUCCUCUCCCCGCAGUUGCCACAGAGGCAGGGAAAUGAGACAGAUAAGACUCAGGGUGCACAGACUUGUGUGGCCAAUGGUGUAAUGGCAGCACAAAACCAGAUGGAAUGUGAGGAGGAGAAAGCUGCCACUCUUAGCCCAGAUACUUCUAUUCAAGCUUCUGAACCCUUGCUUGAUACGCACAUAGUGAAUGGAGAAAGAGAUGAAACUGCCACAGCUCCUGCAUCACCCACAGCAGAUGACUGUGAUGGAAAUGCUUCUGACAGUAGCUACAGGACUCCAGGCAUAGGCCCAGUGCUCCCCCUAGAAGAAAGAGGGGCAGAAACAGAAGCCAAGGUACAAAAGAGGCAAAAUGGGGAAAGCCCUCUGGAACUGGAGCAGCUGGACCAGCACCAUGAGAUGAAGGUAGAGCAUGAAACUAGCUCCAGC